CGGCAGUUGAAUAGCAAUCAAUGGGAAGUACAUCCUUUUCAUACCCACAUAUUAGGCACAAAUCUUGUCCAAAUCAAAUCAUAAUGAAUUUAAAUUCAGUUCCACUUUUCAUUUCCAAAUAUCACCUUCAAUCUACCUGCAAAUCUU
Long non-coding RNA from Juglans microcarpa x Juglans regia, 147 nucleotides. RefSeq lists it as uncharacterized. The transcript has 3 exons. The record is from RefSeq and is a predicted model, not a curated record. Lineage: Eukaryota; Viridiplantae; Streptophyta; Magnoliopsida; Fagales; Juglandaceae.